Molecule: RNase P RNA, 342 nt
Filed under: Stachybotrys chlorohalonatus IBT 40285
Lineage: Eukaryota; Fungi; Ascomycota; Sordariomycetes; Hypocreales; Stachybotryaceae
Description: Stachybotrys chlorohalonata IBT 40285 Nuclear RNase P
Rfam family: Nuclear RNase P
About the family: Ribonuclease P (RNase P) is a ubiquitous endoribonuclease, found in archaea, bacteria and eukarya as well as chloroplasts and mitochondria. Its best characterised activity is the generation of mature 5'-ends of tRNAs by cleaving the 5'-leader elements of precursor-tRNAs.
Source: Rfam by way of RNAcentral
UCUCUCUCAGGCACAUACCCUGUGCCAAAGCAUAUGAGAAAUUCGGAGUAAUCUUCACCACAAACAAACCCCACCCCGCCGUGCUCUCUGCACGCUGGGGCACCCGGGUUCUGCCUGUGAGGGCCUGGCGCGACCUUCGCGUCUGCAAUUGGCAUCAGAAAAGCAGGGGGAGGGGAGCUGGCUUUUCCUCUGGAAGAGUCUGACCCCCUUUCACCCUUUGGGAGAGUCGUUGCGAAGAUUGUGUGUCGAAACACUUGAGUGCAAUACGCGGCGUGCCUCGGCAUUCUCUCCUUCGGGGGUGAAGGCUGAGGUAUAAUUCAAUUCCGAUCAUUCUGGUGGGGA